RNAcentral lists this ribosomal RNA (391 nucleotides) under uncultured bacterium. RNAcentral describes it as "bacterial SSU rRNA". It matches the Rfam family "Bacterial small subunit ribosomal RNA", at positions 29 to 433 of the family's 1533-position model. The record is from RNAcentral.
AACGAACGCUGGCGGCAGGCCUAACACAUGCAAGUCGAACGCCGUAGCAAUACGGAGUGGCAGACGGGUGAGUAACGCGUGGGAACAUACCCCUCGGCUCGGAAUAACUCAGGGAAACUUGAGCUAAUACCGGAUACGUCCGAGGUUUUAAUCGGCCUUGGAGAAAGAUUUAUCGCCGGAGGAUUGGCCCGCGUCUGAUUAGCUUGUUGGUGAGGUAAUGGCUCACCAAGGCGACGAUCAGUAGCUGGUCUGAGAGGAUGAUCAGCCACAUUGGGACUGAGACACGGCCCAAACUCCUACGGGAGGCAGCAGUGGGGAAUAUUGGACAAUGGGCGAAAGCCUGAUCCAGCCAUGCCGCGUGAGUGAUGAAGGCCUUAGGGUUGUAAAGCUC